This 216-nucleotide ribosomal RNA is filed under the name Solenopsis sp. 13 GR-2021. RNAcentral's name for it is "partial large subunit ribosomal RNA". The record is from RNAcentral. Lineage: Eukaryota; Metazoa; Arthropoda; Insecta; Hymenoptera; Formicidae.
GAAUUUAAUAUAAUUUUAUUAAAUUAAUUUAUUAAAUAAAUAAUAAUAAUAAAAUAAAUAUUUAGUUGGGAGGAUUGUUAAAUGUAAAUAACUUUAAUUAAAUUAAAAUAUAAAUUAAUAAAAUAAAGGAAUGAUUAAUAAAUUAAAAAUGAAUUAAUUACCUUAGGGAUAACAGCGUAAUAUUUUUAGAAAGUUCAUAUUAAUAUAAAUGAUUGC